RNAcentral lists this ribosomal RNA (451 nucleotides) under uncultured bacterium. RNAcentral's name for it is "partial 16S ribosomal RNA". It matches the Rfam family "Bacterial small subunit ribosomal RNA", at positions 354 to 796 of the family's 1533-position model. The record is from RNAcentral.
GUGGGGAAUAUUGGACAAUGGGGGGAACCCUGAUCCAGCCAUGCCGCGUGUGUGAAGAAGGCCUUUUGGUUGUAAAGCACUUUAAGCGAGGAGGAGGCUACCGAGAUUAAUACUCUUGGAUAGUGGACGUUACUCGCAGAAUAAGCACCGGCUAACUCUGUGCCAGCAGCCGCGGUAAUACAGAGGGUGCGAGCGUUAAUCGGAUUUACUGGGCGUAAAGCGUGCGUAGGCGGCUUUUUAAGUCGGAUGUGAAAUCCCCGAGCUUAACUUGGGAAGUGCAUUCGAUACUGGGAAGCUAGAGUAUGGGAGAGGAUGGUAGAAUUCCAGGUGUAGCGGUGAAAUGCGUAGAGAUCUGGAGGAAUACCGAUGGCGAAGGCAGCCAUCUGGCCUAAUACUGACGCUGAGGUACGAAAGCAUGGGGAGCAAACAGGAUUAGAAACCCGGGUAGUCC